UCCGGUGGUUCUGAAUGGAAGGGCCAUCGCUCAACGGAUAAAAGGUACUCCGGGGAUAACAGGCUGAUACCGCCCAAGAGUUCAUAUCGACGGCGGUGUUUGGCACCUCGAUGUCGGCUCAUCACAUCCUGGGGCUGAAGUAGGUCCCAAGGGUAUGGCUGUUCGCCAUUUAAAGUGGUACGCGAGCUGGGUUUAGAACGUCGUGAGACAGUUCGGUCCCUAUCUGCCGUGGGCGCUGGAGAACUGAGGGGGGCUGCUCCUAGUACGAGAGGACCGGAGUGGACGCAUCACUGGUGUUCGGGUUGUCAUGCCAAUGGCACUGCCCGGUAGCUAAAUGCGGAAGAGAUAAGUGCUGAAAGCAUCUAAGCACGAAACUUGCCCCGAGAUGAGUUCUCCCUGAGACUUAAAGUCUCCUGAAGGAACGUUGAAGACGACGACGUUGAUAGGCCGGGUGUGUAAGCGCAGCGAUGCGUUGAGCUAACCGGUACUAAUGAACCGUGAGGCUUAACCUUACAACGCCGAA
Molecule: ribosomal RNA, 523 nt
Filed under: Salmonella enterica subsp. enterica serovar Newport
Lineage: Bacteria; Pseudomonadati; Pseudomonadota; Gammaproteobacteria; Enterobacterales; Enterobacteriaceae
Description: partial 23S ribosomal RNA
Rfam family: Bacterial large subunit ribosomal RNA
Source: RNAcentral